UCUGAACCCCUCUGUCUCUUCU
This 22-nucleotide microRNA is filed under the name Callithrix jacchus (white-tufted-ear marmoset). RNAcentral describes it as "cja-miR-9963". The record is from miRBase by way of RNAcentral. Lineage: Eukaryota; Metazoa; Chordata; Mammalia; Primates; Cebidae.